UACGGGGGGAGCAAGCGUUGUUCGGAUUUACUGGGCGUAAAGGGCGCGUAGGCGGUCGUGACAAGUCACUUGUGAAAUCUCCGGGCUUAACUCGGAACGGUCAAGUGAUACUGCGCGGCUAGAGUGCAGAAGGGGCAACUGGAAUUCUCGGUGUAGCGGUGAAAUGCGUAGAUAUCGAGAGGAACACCUGCGGCGAAGGCGGGUUGCUGGGCUGACACUGACGCUGAUGCGCGAAAGCCAGGGGAGCGAACGGG
This 254-nucleotide ribosomal RNA is filed under the name uncultured bacterium. RNAcentral's name for it is "partial 16S ribosomal RNA". It matches the Rfam family "Bacterial small subunit ribosomal RNA", at positions 524 to 776 of the family's 1533-position model. The record is from RNAcentral.